UCAUUCUAGCCUGUGUCCUUUAGCAAACGAGACAGCUAAGUGUGCCCAAGAUGAAUUGGGUUGUGCUUGAUGUGUGAAUUUUAACGGUAUUUGUGUCGUCCCGCUGUUAGCAACAGCACCAUGUUGCGUGUUGGCAGGAAAGCUGAAUGCAUGGCACGAUGGAUUGUGGUCCCCACCAGGACCGGGGUACGGUUUCGGGUGCCCCUUCAGAAGCUGCACCCUCUGUACCGUGCCAUCCACCAUCGUUACUAUGGAAACACCAGCUCCCAGCGCCCUCCUCAUCGUACGGCGGCCCGUUAUUUCACCUCCAUGUCACGGUUACCCAUGAGACCGCCGAAGCCGCCUCCGAGGUCAGGAGGGGGCCGUGGCUACCAGCAGCAGCGCAACUUCUGGGUGGCCCGACUCGCUGCGAGGCUGCUGAGGCUGCGGUACAUCCUGCUCGGCAGCGCGGUGGGCGGAGGAUACACAGCUAAGAAGACGUAUGACGAGUGGAAGGACAUGCUGCCUGACUUGAGCGAAUACAACUGGCUCGUUCCUGACUUUGUGUGGGAGCUCAGCCAACAAAUAGAUCUUGAUAAACUGGCCAAAGCGCUGCCGGAGAUGGAGGAAAUAGCCAAACUCAUGCCCGACUUUGACAGGAUAGGAGAGAACUUCACUUUGCUCAGAAGCCUGCUGACCUCUGCCCCCUUCCCCCCCAUCUCCUCCACAUUAUUCACAGGUUUGAGUUUGGGUAGUGAAGUCAAAGGAGCUUCGGGUCUGCUUCUGUUGUUAGAAACCUCAGGUGAUCCUCCGUUAAAAGCUACAGACUCUUCCACCGCAGCCUCACAAGAUGACAAGCAGUACAAGAAGGGUCUGCUUGGCGAGCUCAUUCUUAUUCAGCAGCAGAUCCAGCGGCACGAGGAGGAGGUCCGGCGGGCAGCUGCGGCCAAUUAUACGCGUCCCCCACCGCCAGAGCCUGCUCCCAGUCCGCCUUCGAACCCCAGCCCCCCUCAUCACGCACGUAAGUCAUCAGACAAAGAAAAGAUAGAUCAGCUCCAAGAGGAACUGCUCCGUACCCAGCUGAAAUACCAACGCAUGCUGGAGAGACUGGAGAAAGAGAAUAAGGAGUUGAGGAAAGUGGUUCUGCAAAAAGACGAUAAAGGGAUUCACCAAAGGAAAGUGAAGAAAUCCCUUAUUGAUAUGUAUUCAGAAGUUCUGGACAUCCUGUCUGACUAUGAUGCCAACUACAAUACGCAGGACCAUCUACCCAGGGUGGUUGUGGUGGGCGAUCAGAGUGCUGGGAAGACAAGCGUGCUGGAGAUGAUAGCUCAGGCCAGGAUUUUUCCCAGAGGCUCUGGAGAGAUGAUGACACGUUCUCCUGUUAAGGUGACGCUGAGUGAAGGCCCUCACCAUGUGGCUUUGUUCAAGGACAGCGGGCGUGAGUUUGACCUCACCAAGGAGGAAGAUCUGGCCGCUCUGAGGCAUGAAAUUGAGCUGAGGAUGAGGAAGAGCGUGAAAGAGGGGCAAACAGUCAGCUCUGAGACAAUAUCCUUGAGUGUGAAAGGCCCAGGCAUCCAGCGAAUGGUGCUUGUUGAUUUGCCAGGCGUCAUCAGUACGGUGACUGCGGGCAUGGCAUCGGACACCAAGGAGACCAUCUUCAGUAUCAGCAAGGCCUACAUGCAGAACCCCAAUGCCAUCAUCCUCUGCAUACAAGAUGGCAGUGUGGAUGCGGAGCGGAGCAUUGUGACCGAUUUGGUUAGUCAAAUGGACCCCCAUGGAAAGAGGACCAUCUUUGUGUUGACCAAAGUGGACUUGGCCGAGAAGAACCUAGCCAGCCCGAGCAGAAUCCAGCAGAUUGUUGAGGGCAAGCUGUUUCCUAUGAAGGCCCUGGGCUACUUUGCAGUAGUGACCGGAAAAGGGAGCAGUGGGGAAAGCAUUGACUCCAUUAAGGAUUACGAGGAGGACUUCUUCCAGAACUCCAGAUUAUUGCGGGACGGUAUGCUGAAGGCCCAUCAGGUGACCACAAAGAACUUGAGUCUGGCCGUCUCGGACUGCUUCUGGAAAAUGGUGCGGGAGUCUGUUGAGCAGCAGGCUGACGUCUUUAAAGCAUCUCGCUUCAACCUGGAGACGGAGUGGAAGAACAACUAUCCUCGUCUGAGAGAACUGGACCGGAAUGAACUAUAUGAAAAGGCCAAGAAUGAAAUCUUGGAUGAAGUCAUCAGCUUGAGCCAAGUGACCCCACAGCACUGGGAAGCCAUCCUACAAAAGAAGCUGUGGGAGCGUGUUUCCACCCACGUGAUUGAGAACAUCUACCUGCCCGCCGCACAAACAAUGGACUCUGGGACCUUCAACACCACGGUAGACAUCAAGCUCAAGCAGUGGACUGACAAGCAGCUUCCACACAAAGCUCUGGAGGUUGCCUGGGAGACUCUACAGGAGGAAUUUGCUCGCUUCAUGGCUGAGUACAAAGGCAAAGACCAGGAUGACAUUUUUGACAAGCUGAAGGAGGCCGUGAAGGACGAGAGCAUCAAGAGGCACAAGUGGAACGAGAGGGCCAUGGACAGCCUGCGGGUGAUCCAGCACAAUGCCCUAGAAGAUCGCUCCAUCACAGACAAAUCCCAGUGGGAUGCUGCCAUCCAGUUCAUGGAGGAAACUUUGCAGUCACGCCUGAAAGACACUGAAACUGUAAUAGCAGACAUGGUGGGUCCAGACUGGAAGCAGCGGUGGAUGUACUGGAAGAACCGAACACCAGAUCAGCACAUCCAUAAUGAAACCAAAACGGAGCUGGAGCGCUUGCUGAAGCUGCACGACGAGCACACAGCUUACCUGGCCAACGACGAGGUCACCACAGUCAGGAAGAACCUGGAAGGACGGGGGGUUGAAGUCGACCCCAUGCUGAUCAAGGACACAUGGCAUCAGCUCUAUCGACGACACUUUUUACAGAAGGCCCUGUCCCACUGUAACCUCUGUAAGCGCGGCUUCUACUACUACCAGAGGCACUUUGUGGACUCUGAGUUGGAGUGCAAUGAUGUGGUCCUGUUCUGGAGGAUCCAGAGGAUGUUGGUGAUCACAGCCAACACGCUACGACAGCAGCUCACCAACACUGAAGUGCGCCGACUGGAGAAGAACGUGAAAGAGGUGCUGGAUGACUUUGGAGAAGAUAUGGAGAAGAAAUCUCACCUCAUCACCGGGCGCCGCGUCCAGCUGGCCGAGGAUCUCAAGAAAGUACGUGAGAUCCAGGAGAAGCUUGAAGCCUUCAUAGAAGCUCUACACAAGGAGAAAUAAAAGAAGCAGAACCGUUGCAAAGUAAAGGUCGUUUUGCACUGAAUAAGCAAAGUAGAAAUAUGACUAUUGUGACUUUGUGGCCGUCACAGUGCCCACACACAACCCCUUCUCCCUGACCCCCUCCCACAUGGAUGCAAAGAUGGACCUUAAAGGAAGGAACGCAGCAUAUGCCAGGCGGUUCUUCUGUCCACUCACAGGACAGUUGCCAAGGAAAAAAACAAACAUCACAGCGCAGAAGAGAAUAAGGCAGCAUGUUGAACAGUCUUCACGUUAAGUUGCCUUGUGUUCCCCUGUCAAGCUUUGCAUCACAUUUAUCGACCAUUUGGACAGCAUCGGCGCUGGACACGGACACAGAAUGGAUGAUAGGCUUCUUCCCUCCUUCAUGUCACCUCCACCAUUCGGACCACUCUCACCCACGUAAACACUCACUCUUCCUGUUUGGGAACGGACUGAAAGGGUGUGAUGAGGGCCCAUGUUUACCCCAGUGAUGUACAGUACGUGUCUUUAUGCUAUAGACAUGAGAGGCUGCGCAUCCUCCCAACAGGUGAUGCACUUGUCUCAAAGAACGGUGAGGUGGUUGCACCAUGUUUUAUGUUGUAGAAAGUCAUGUUUGCAUGGCGUGACCUGGCAGAUGUUUAUUUAUUACAUUUGUGUUCCAAAGGAAAAUAAAACUGACAAAACUGAAUGAUGGAUUCUUAGUUUUGUCAUGUUUAAUGUUAACCUGUACAGUCAGAUGCCCCUCAGCUCUGAGACGUGAGUAUAUUUUGCUUUUUCUGUAGCUUUUGAUGUGGCUGUUCCUUUGUGAUGCCACCACAUGGAGGGCGGGGCUUACCUGUGAUGGAAAAGUGUAAUGAUGACCAUGGAACCACAAACGGAAACAUAGGAAAGCGGUACGUAGGUCUUUGUCCUGGCGACAAUAUGGAUGCAGUACAAUAUGAAUAAAACCAUCACAUGUCAACAGUACAGUAAUCCCUCACCACUUCGCCUCACUCUCACGGUUUUCAAAAUACAGUCAAACCUGUCUUAGCGGCCACCUUUAUAGAACGGCCACCUGCCUAUAGCAGUCACUGAAAAAUCCUCGCAGCAAAUGUACAUGUUAUAGACCCUGUGUAUAGCAGUCACCUGUCCAACCCGGCCAGCGGCCACCCAUUUUGUCUCCCUUGGUCAAUAUCUGACUGCAUAUAGAGGCCAAAUUACCAACUCAAGUAGAAGCUUCAUGCACGAAAAAGUUUCGUUUUUCAAUCAACGAAGCCGUCGUGUGUAGACUUUAAUUACGGAAUCCUAGCUCAGUCACAAUCAUUCACAAGAUCCACAUAAACUGUCAGUUGUUCCACAUAAAAAAGCCAUCUUCUUUUGAGCUUGCUAUUUCCUGGUCAAACAUGUAACUUUAAGAGCAUUUGCACCAAAACAUUACUGCAAAGUAGGCUGGGAACAGGACGUGCUCCCAGCGACGCUACAAUAAAAAAAACAUACGCUAGCAUGCAUGCGGCAGCGGGAGCAAAACUGGGUUCGGUUGUACUUAAUUGAAGUAUUUUAGAAUGUACUCACGUUAUUUUUGAUCAAUCCUCAUCCACAAAUCCAUCAAAGUCCUCAUCUUCUGUAUUCGACACAAACAAAGCCGUCUUCUUUUCCGUUCGCUACUAGUCUGUUAACUUGUCAGUGUUAUUCAGCUCCGAAGCAAAGAAGGAAACUUCUCCUGUUGCUUCUGCCAACUUUAUUUAUUGAACGCGGCCACCAGACAGCAGCUCAGAACACACACACAUCUCUCAGCAUCAUCUCUCCUUCCUGCUUGCCCACAAAGCAAAGGUUAAACAAGCCCCACUACAUAGCUGUCCAGCCAAUGCCUGUAAGAAAUGACACCGUUUAUUUCCUGGUGUGCACUGGUCAAUACUGCAAUGCCGCUUGUUGUGGGGAAGGAGAGACUCACGUCGCCGAUGCACUUUAAUGUCCGCAGUGCCCUCUACUGGUCAACAUUAUUAUUAUUUUCCCCCCCUUUUUUUUCUUUUUUUUCCUCUACUGGUCAACAUUCAAACUGGACGCCAACCUGUCUAUAGAGGCCAACUGUCUAUAGCGGCCACUUUUGCAGACUCCCUCUAGUGGCCGCUAUAGACAAGUUCGACUGUAUAAUCAUUCAUAAAUCAUGCUUUUUUGGGGUUGAAUACGGCCUAUUAUUAUUUCAAAGCUGUGCGUAAUUAAGCUGGAUUUACGUACUUUUCUGCGCAAAUUUUAAAAAAAUGGCUCAAUGAAGUAAAAUAUAAACAUUGAUAAGGCACAUUGAAUGUGAUGUGUAGUAUUCUACACUGGUCACCAGGUGUAAACAUAUCGGGUAAGUAUAUAUAAAUUUACAAGGACAUUUAUGAAAGUUUAUCUUCAAUACUAGCAAGAUCCGGUACUAGCAAGAGUACACAAUCAACACCGGUCUCGCCAGGAGAGCUGACCACAGCCGCUUUCGCUGAUCGCAGUCUUUGUCCCCUCCCGGCUGUGGAGCCCAUAACUGGUGUGUAAAGGUGACUGUGGGGGUGUUAUUUCAUGUGUCUAGGGCACUAAUGUUAAAACCCAUAUUUAAAAGGUCGUAAACAGGUUUUCAAUCCCUCAACUACGAAAAUAAAUAGGAAAUCCUACUUUGCGGAAAUUCACUUAUCACGGUGGGGUGUGGAACCAAUUAAAUGUGAUAAAUGAGGGAAUACUGUACUCUUAGAAGAGGAAACGAGCAGAAGAAAAGACCACAAAGUCGUGAGUAUGCAAUUUAUUGUAACGUGUCCCGAUGAAAGGCGGUUAACUUCUUUUUACACUUGUAUGACGGCUAAAAUGUUACCGUGAUGCAUGAAGUGGGCUCGCCUUCAGCAACACUUAUAUGCUACGCAUCAUCACAGCUAAGGGUGAGUGUACAAUACAAUUGCAUAGUUUUAACUUCUUUUUCAUUUGUAAGAGAGCUCAAGUGUGAUGCGUGCUUGAUGUCGACUCGCCUUCAGCGAGCUUCCGUUUCCUGUACUUCCUUGUAUGUUUUGCUGUGCCUUUUCCAGGCUAAGGGUGAGUACAUGAAGUGAUAACUUCUUUUUGCACUUGGAUGACAGCUAAACUGUUACUUAUAACAUUGCCUGUACAGUGGCACUACCGCAAAUUGGCAGGGUUUUGAUCCAAAAAUAGGUUUCAUUUGUCGGAAAAUCUGCCCAUUUGUGCUUUUUCUUUCCAAAAAUAGGCUUUUUUUGUGGGUAAAACGUGUCUCAUUUCGGUUCUGUUUGGAGCUUCUUGAAUGGAUUAAUGACGCCAACCAAGGUUCCACUGUAGCAGGAGGGUUUGGAGGGGGAGGAAGGAGACGGAGACAGAGCAUCAUAACCCAGGCUUUAUCAAAAUAUACAUUUUUGUGUGCGUCUGUUAUUGGUCUUUCGCGAGUGGUGUUGGAAUGUAGCGCUACCUCAGGGUUCUUCACCCUUGUUGAGAAGUUGAAUGAUGGGCAUGUCAGGAGGUCUCU
Molecule: RNA transcript, 6736 nt
Organism: Dunckerocampus dactyliophorus (ringed pipefish)
Lineage: Eukaryota; Metazoa; Chordata; Actinopteri; Syngnathiformes; Syngnathidae
Gene: opa1
Gene name: OPA1 mitochondrial dynamin like GTPase
Exons: 32
Source: RefSeq, a predicted model, not a curated record